RNAcentral lists this ribosomal RNA (467 nucleotides) under uncultured bacterium. Its description in RNAcentral is "partial 16S ribosomal RNA". It matches the Rfam family "Bacterial small subunit ribosomal RNA", at positions 29 to 507 of the family's 1533-position model. The record is from RNAcentral.
ACGAACGCUGGCGGCGUGCUUAACACAUGCAAGUCGAACGGAAAGGCCCUGCUUUUGUGGGGUGCUCGAGUGGCGAACGGGUGAGUAACACGUGAGUAACCUGCCCUUGACUUUGGGAUAACUUCAGGAAACUGGGGCUAAUACCGGAUAGGAGCUCCUGCUGCAUGGUGGGGGUUGGAAAGUUUCGGCGGUUGGGGAUGGACUCGCGGCUUAUCAGCUUGUUGGUGGGGUAGUGGCUUACCAAGGCUUUGACGGGUAGCCGGCCUGAGAGGGUGACCGGCCACAUUGGGACUGAGAUACGGCCCAGACCCCUACGGGAGGCAGCAGUGGGGAAUAUUGCACAAUGGGCGGAAGCCUGAUGCAGCAACGCCGCGUGCGGGAUGACGGCUUUCGGGUUGUAAACCGCUUUCGCCUGUGACGAAGCGUGAGUGACGGUAAUGGGUAAAGAAGCACCGGCUAACUACGUG